Molecule: ribosomal RNA, 498 nt
Filed under: uncultured bacterium
Lineage: Bacteria
Description: partial 16S ribosomal RNA
Rfam family: Bacterial small subunit ribosomal RNA
Source: RNAcentral
AUUGAACGCUGGCGGCAUGCUUUACACAUGCAAGUCGAACGGCAGCGCGGGGCAACCUGGCGGCGAGUGGCGAACGGGUGAGUAAUACAUCGGAACGUACCCAGAAGUGGGGGAUAACGUAGCGAAAGUUACGCUAAUACCGCAUACGUUCUACGGAAGAAAGUGGGGGAUCUUCGGACCUCAUGCUUUUGGAGCGGCCGAUGUCUGAUUAGCUAGUUGGUGAGGUAAAGGCUCACCAAGGCGACGAUCAGUAGCUGGUCUGAGAGGACGACCAGCCAAAAUGCGACUGAGUGACAGGCCAGCCUCCAACGGGAGGCAGCAGUGGGGAAUUUUGUACAAUGGGCUCAAGCCUGAACCAGCAAUGCCGCGUUAGUGAAGAAGGCCUUCGGGUUGUAAAGCUCUUUUGUCAGGGAAGAAACGGCUGGGGCUAAUAUCCCCGGCUAAUGAUGGUACCUGAAGAAUAAGCACCGGCUAACUACGUGCCAGCAGCCGCCGUAA